Molecule: ribosomal RNA, 255 nt
Filed under: uncultured bacterium
Lineage: Bacteria
Description: partial 16S ribosomal RNA
Rfam family: Bacterial small subunit ribosomal RNA
Source: RNAcentral
UACGAAGGGUGCAAGCGUUACUCGGAAUUACUGGGCGUAAAGCGUGCGUAGGUGGUUUGUUAAGUCUGAUGUGAAAGCCCUGGGCUCAACCUGGGAAUUGCAUUGGAUACUGGCAGGCUAGAGUGCGGUAGAGGGUAGUGGAAUUCCCGGUGUAGCAGUGAAAUGCGUAGAGAUCGGGAGGAACAUCCGUGGCGAAGGCGGCGAUCUGGGGAAGAUACUGACGCUGAGGUGCGAAAGCGUGGGGAGCAAACAGGG